Molecule: transfer RNA, 76 nt
Filed under: Candidatus Woesebacteria bacterium RIFCSPHIGHO2_01_FULL_38_9
Lineage: Bacteria; Candidatus Woeseibacteriota
Also listed under: 1 other name
Description: tRNA-Arg
Rfam family: tRNA
About the family: Transfer RNA (tRNA) molecules are approximately 80 nucleotides in length.
Source: RNAcentral
GGCCCAGUAGCUCAACGGACAGAGCAGACGGUUUCUAACCGUAAGGUUGAAGGUUCGAUUCCUUCCUGGGUCACCG